Molecule: non-coding RNA, 340 nt
Filed under: Desulfuribacillus stibiiarsenatis
Lineage: Bacteria; Bacillati; Bacillota; Desulfuribacillia; Desulfuribacillales; Desulfuribacillaceae
Description: cspA thermoregulator
Rfam family: cspA thermoregulator
Source: Rfam by way of RNAcentral
UAAAAAUCUAAAGAUGGUUUAGCAAGGAAACAUGGUUACAUUAUGCUUUUUAAACACUUUAAUUUUUUGGGAGGCCAAUCAAAUGACAGGCAAAGUAAAAUGGUUUAACGCAGAAAAAGGUUUCGGAUUCAUCGAGCGCGAGAACGGUGACGACGUAUUCGUUCACUUCUCAGCUAUCCAAGGAGACGGAUUCAAGACUUUAGAAGAAGGUCAAUCAGUACAAUUCGAUAUCGUUGACGGAAACCGUGGACCACAAGCAGCUAACGUAGUUCGCGUAUAGUUAUAACAUAACUACAUUGACUACAAGAAGGCAUUAUCCGAUAUUCGGAUAUGCCUUUUU